Molecule: long non-coding RNA, 973 nt
Filed under: Chinchilla lanigera (long-tailed chinchilla)
Lineage: Eukaryota; Metazoa; Chordata; Mammalia; Rodentia; Chinchillidae
Description: lncRNA (ENSCLAG00000023609.1)
Source: RNAcentral
AAAUCUGAGAAGGCCAUUUGGACACUUCCUCAUACACUUCAGUUUUGCUGUCACUGCUGCAGAAAGAUGCGUUCAUAACGUCCUGUCUGCAGUCUGAUCGUAUGGGAGCCAGGACUGUCCUCAGAGAUGCAGCCUCAACUGCCAGAGUCACGAGUGUUGAAAGUCCCUACAUCCUUACUUCAAAGACUGAAAUCCCAAAUGUUAAAGUGCUGAAGCUUCAUCUUGCGAACUGCACUCAGGAGAUUCCAUCCCGGGUACCUGUUUUCUAGAAAUGGCACUGGAAGACAACCUAGCGUGUAUGGGACAAGACCUGUCAUCUACAAGCGUGAAGCCCUCUGCCAGCCCCUUAACCUGCUGGCCACGUGCACACAGUCUGCUCUCACAGUCACCUUUAGUCAUAGCAAAUGCAGUCUUCUGUCCAGAAAAGGAAGCCAAGUUCUUAUCCUAAGAGCCGGAACCCCUACCUUCUCUUUGAGGAGUGGACAAUGUACGUACAGAAUACAGCUUUGCUUACUUUCUGUCCUAAUAUCCUGGGGCUACUGUGUCUUGCUCCAAGCCUCUCUGAUUCUAUUCUGGACAUCUCUCAAUAGACAUUUCUGUAUCUUGUUACCAAACACAAACAUGGAUAUAAGAAUUUUUAAGAUUCGAAGCCCUAUGCUAGUCAUAACUGAUUCACAUGUCAAGGGUCUUUGAUGUUGAAUUGUUAAUUGUCUUCCAUGCAAGUCUCAUCUCAGUAGCUAUAAAAUGUUCAACACAGAGAGAAAAAUAUACUUUUUAAGCCAUGAGCAGCUAAUGGAUGGAGUAGCUUACAUCAGAAAGAUAAAACCUGUUGCUACCGACUUUGGAUGGGAAUUUAUAACUCUAUAUUUUUGAGAAUUUUUGUUUUGCCUUUUGCAACAGGGUCUCACUAUGUAGUUCAGGCUGGCCUUGAGCUCUCUUUGUAGCCCAGGCUGGCCUCGAACUGGCAGCAAGC